Molecule: ribosomal RNA, 512 nt
Filed under: uncultured bacterium
Lineage: Bacteria
Description: bacterial SSU rRNA
Rfam family: Bacterial small subunit ribosomal RNA
Source: RNAcentral
UUAUGGCUCAGGAUGAACGCUAGCUACAGGCUUAACAUAUGCAAGUCGAGGGGCAUCAGAUCGAAAGCUUGCUUUGAUGCUGGCGACCGGCGCACGGGUGAGUAACGCGUAUCCAACCUUCCCUAUAGUAGAGAAUAGCCCGGCGAAAGUCGGAUUAAUGCUCUAUGUUGUAUUUAGAAGACAUCUGAAGAAUACCAAAGGUUUACCGCUAUAGGAUGGGGAUGCGUCUGAUUAGGUAGUAGGCGGGGUAACGGCCCACCUAGCCGACGAUCAGUAGGGGUUCUGAGAGGAAGGUCCCCCACAUUGGAACUGAGACACGGUCCAAACUCCUACGGGAGGCAGCAGUGAGGAAUAUUGGUCAAUGGACGGAAGUCUGAACCAGCCAAGUAAGCGUGCAGGAUGACGGCCCUAUGGGUUGUAAACUGCUUUUAUAUAGGGAUAAAGUCGGGGACGUGUCCCCGUUUGUAGGUACUAUAUGAAUAAGGACCGGCUAAUUCCGUGCCAGCCGCCGC